RNAcentral lists this ribosomal RNA (460 nucleotides) under uncultured bacterium. RNAcentral's name for it is "partial 16S ribosomal RNA". It matches the Rfam family "Bacterial small subunit ribosomal RNA", at positions 338 to 795 of the family's 1533-position model. The record is from RNAcentral.
CCUACGGGUGGCAGCAGUGAGGAAUAUUGGUCAAUGGACGAGAGUCUGAACCAGCCAAGUAGCGUGAAGGAUGACUGCCCUAUGGGUUGUAAACUUCUUUUGUAAAGGAAUAAAACGAGGCACGUGUGCCUUUUUGCAUGUACUUUAUGAAUAAGGAUCGGCUAACUCCGUGCCAGCAGCCGCGGUAAUACGGAGGAUCCGAGCGUUAUCCGGAUUUAUUGGGUUUAAAGGGAGCGUAGAUGGGUUGUUAAGUCAGUUGUGAAAGUUUGCGGCUCAACCGUACAAUCGCAUUUGAUACUGGGAGUCUUGAGUACAGGUGAGGUAGGCGGAAUUCGUGGUGUAGCGGUGAAAUGCUUAGAUAUCACGAAGAACUCCGAUUGCGAAGGCAGCCUACUAAACUGUGACUGACAUUGAUGCUCGAAAGUGUGGGUAUCAAACAGGAUUAGAUACCCUGGUAGUC